UCCUGGCAGUAAACGGUGCACGUUUGGUGUGGGAGGAUUCGACCCCUUCCGUGCCGGAGCUAACGCGUUAAACGUGCCGCCUGGGGAGUACGGUCGCAAGAUUAAAACUCAAAGAAAUUGACGGGGACCCGCACAAGCGGUGGAGUAUGUGGCUUAAUUCGAUGCAACGCGAAGAACCUUACCUGGCCUUGACAUGCAUCUCUAAUCCGGUGAAAGCCGG
RNAcentral lists this ribosomal RNA (220 nucleotides) under uncultured bacterium. Its description in RNAcentral is "partial 16S ribosomal RNA". It matches the Rfam family "Bacterial small subunit ribosomal RNA", at positions 794 to 1011 of the family's 1533-position model. The record is from RNAcentral.